This 1320-nucleotide long non-coding RNA is filed under the name Zea mays. RNAcentral's name for it is "long non-coding RNA (ZMAY_LNC004758)". Lineage: Eukaryota; Viridiplantae; Streptophyta; Magnoliopsida; Poales; Poaceae. The record is from RNAcentral.
UCGCCAGCGUCUCUCGGCCACGCCUCGUUUCGGUCUCACUGGCGCGUGGGGUCCGGUUGCAACCUGCGCCAAAAUCUUCAUGGCCGUCGCAACCACAGGCCGAGAUCCUUGCCUCAUACUUGUUCCUAGACACUAUAAGAAUCUCCAUGCCUCUGAAUCCUCAAUUUUGAACCUAUAUUCGAGAACGCCAUAAGCAAUCCCACCGCUGCAGCGAGAAAGAACAGAGAGAUGGGAAGCUUCCGCCGCCAUUGUUGGAACCGGGCCGCCAUGAAGGGGGAAAUGUUCCUGCGUGCUUUCAUCGUCCGGUUCACUCAAUAGACGGUGAGAUCUCCCCUCCGUGCUCCGUCGUGUUUUUCACUUUUGCGCGCGCGGAACGGGCGUCCUAGGCGCCGUCGGGGCCCCGCCACCAGGCUGGCGCGUGCGUGCCAGUUCCGUGAGGUAGAAGAUGACUUGAUGGCCGUCGAUCUAGCCUUGUACGGUAGAUAGUAGAUGUACUUAGUGUUUCAAUCAGAUUGAUGUGCAAUCGAUGAUGCCAGAUCGUACGCGUAAGAUUAGAGCUCGGUCAUUUAAAACCUAGGUCGUCGAUCUAGGCACCAACAGAUGGGAUUGACUUCAACUCGUAAUGUUUCGCCAAUCUAAUUCGGGCCCUUGGAUUCCGAUCGGGCGGCAUGGGAGUCUGGGUGGGCUUCGAUCUAAUCUGGCGCGUAGAAGUUUGAUCGAACGGCUAUGAUUCAUGCAUACCUCUUCGGUCAUAGAUAUUUGCAAAAGAGACCCAGUAUUUUUAGUUUAUCAACCCGCAGUCCUAAGCUAUAGAAAGAUCAUCACUGUCAGGUCUUGGAAUUAACAAAACAGACCCUGAGCUUCUCUAGAAUUGUAGCCGGAGCCCAGAGAUUAAAUAAAACGAGUAUAUUAAUAUAGAAAAUGGUUUUUAGUAUAAAAUAAUUCCAGAAACUUGUUUAACUCAUAUUUAAUUCAUUAUAACACCUUUUUGAUCCAUUCCAGUUGCAUUAAAUUCGUAAUAAUAUUUAUUUAUCAUCUGGUAACCCUGCUUUGUCAUGAAAUAUAGGUUAAAAGUAUGCACUUAAUUUAUUCCAUAUCUAAUAUUUAAAACUUCGGAAAAUCAUAACUCUUUAAUCGUAACUCCGAAUUGAGUGAUUCUCGAACCUAGGAUCUCGUUACGAUGCGUAGAUCAUUACUAUUCAAUAUGUUCUCUUGAUUAGUGUGAUGUUAACUUUGCCUAUACCAUGUUUGUUUGUAUUGCUACGAGUAGCAGCAAGGUUACGAGUCAGUUGAAGACCAAGUUGGUACCUAGGAAUCUCG